AGCGGGGUGCUACACAUGCAGUCGAGCGAGAACUUCGGUUCUAGCGGCGGACGGGUUAGUAACGCGUGGGAACGUGCCCUUCACUACGGAAUAGUCCCGGGAAACUGGGUUUAAUACCGUAUACGCCCUUCGGGGGAAAGAAUUUCGGUGAAGGAUCGGCCCGCGUUAGAUUAGAUAGUUGGUGGGGUAACGGCCUACCAAGUCUACGAUCUAUAGCUGGUUUUAGAGGAUGAUCAGCAACACUGGGACUGAGACACGGCCCAGACUCCUACGGGAGGCAGCAGUGGGGAAUCUUAGACAAUGGGCGCAAGCCUGAUCUAGCCAUGCCGCGUGAGUGAUGAAGGCCUUAGGGUCGUAAAGCUCUUUCGCCAGGGAUGAUAAUGACAGUACCUGGUAAAGAAACCCCGGCUAACUCCGUGCCAGCAGCCGCGGUAAUACGGAGGGGGUUAGCGUUGUUCGGAAUUACUGGGCGUAAAGCGCGCGUAGGCGGAUUGGAAAGUUGGGGGUGAAAUCCCAGGGCUCAACCCUGGAACUGCCUCCAAAACUAUCAGUCUAGAGUUCGAGAGAGGUGAGUGGAACUCCGAGUGUAGAGGUGAAAUUCGUAGAUAUUCGGAAGAACACCAGUGGCGAAGGCGGCUCACUGGCUCGAUACUGACGCUGAGGUGCGAAAGUGUGGGGAGCAAACAGGAUUAGAUACCCUGGUAGUCCAC
RNAcentral lists this ribosomal RNA (710 nucleotides) under Roseovarius sp. Its description in RNAcentral is "bacterial SSU rRNA". It matches the Rfam family "Bacterial small subunit ribosomal RNA", at positions 38 to 798 of the family's 1533-position model. The record is from RNAcentral. Lineage: Bacteria; Pseudomonadati; Pseudomonadota; Alphaproteobacteria; Rhodobacterales; Roseobacteraceae.